Molecule: ribosomal RNA, 445 nt
Filed under: uncultured organism
Description: partial 16S ribosomal RNA
Rfam family: Bacterial small subunit ribosomal RNA
Source: RNAcentral
ACUCCUGCGGGAGGCAGCAGUGGGGAAUAUUGGACAAUGGGCGCAAGCCUGAUCCAGCCAUGCCGCGUGAGUGAUGAAGGCCCUAGGGUUGUAAAGCUCUUUCACCGGUGAAGAUAAUGACGGUAACCGGAGAAGAAGCCCCGGCUAACUUCGUGCCAGCAGCCGCGGUAAUACGAAGGGGGCUAGCGUUGUUCGGAUUUACUGGGCGUAAAGCGCACGUAGGCGGACUAUUAAGUCAGGGGUGAAAUCCCGGGGCUCAACCCCGGAACUGCCUUUGAUACUGGUAGUCUUGAGUUCGAGAGAGGUGAGUGGAAUUCCGAGUGUAGAGGUGAAAUUCGUAGAUAUUCGGAGGAACACCAGUGGCGAAGGCGGCUCACUGGCUCGAUACUGACGCUGAGGUGCGAAAGCGUGGGGAGCAAACAGGAUUAGAAACCCUAGUAGUCCC